Molecule: ribosomal RNA, 226 nt
Filed under: uncultured bacterium
Lineage: Bacteria
Description: partial 16S ribosomal RNA
Rfam family: Bacterial small subunit ribosomal RNA
Source: RNAcentral
AUGCGAAUCUCGAAAGCCUGUCUCAGUUCGGAUUGAGGCUGAAACCCGCCUCCAUGAAGUUGGAUUCGCUAGUAAUCGCGCAUCAGCCAUGGCGCGGUGAAUACGUUCCCGGGCCUUGUACACACCGCCCGUCAAGCCAUGGGAGCCGGGGGUGCCUGAAGUUCGUGACCGCAAGGAGCGACCUAGGGCAAAACUGGUGACUGGGGCUAAGUCGUAACAAGGUAAC